This 497-nucleotide ribosomal RNA is filed under the name uncultured bacterium. RNAcentral describes it as "partial 16S ribosomal RNA". It matches the Rfam family "Bacterial small subunit ribosomal RNA", at positions 28 to 507 of the family's 1533-position model. The record is from RNAcentral.
GAUGAACGCUGGCGGCGUGCCUAAUACAUGCAAGUCGAGCGAACAGACGAGGAGCUUGUUCCUCUGACGUUAGCGGCGGACGGGUGAGUAACACGUGGAUAACCUACCUAUAAGACUGGGAUAACUUCGGGAAACCGGAGCUAAUACCGGAUAAUAUAUUGAACCGCAUGGUUCAAUAGUGAAAGACGGUUUUGCUGUCACUUAUAGAUGGAUCCGCGCCGCAUUAGCUAGUUGGUAAGGUAACGGCUUACCAAGGCGACGAUGCGUAGCCGACCUGAGAGGGUGAUCGGCCACACUGGAACUGAGACACGGUCCAGACUCCUACGGGAGGCAGCAGUAGGGAAUCUUCCGCAAUGGGCGAAAGCCUGACGGAGCAACGCCGCGUGAGUGAUGAAGGUCUUCGGAUCGUAAAACUCUGUUAUUAGGGAAGAACAAAUGUGUAAGUAACUAUGCACGUCUUGACGGUACCUAAUCAGAAAGCCACGGCUAACUACGUG